Molecule: ribosomal RNA, 639 nt
Filed under: uncultured Inocybe
Lineage: Eukaryota; Fungi; Basidiomycota; Agaricomycetes; Agaricales; Cortinariaceae
Description: eukaryotic LSU rRNA
Rfam family: 5.8S ribosomal RNA (bases 283-436)
Source: RNAcentral
AGGAUCAUUAUCGUAUAUAAACUUGAACAGGCUGCUGCUGGCUCCCCUCUUGAUUGGGGGUGGGUGUGUGCACGCUUGUCUCAUCUUUAUUAUUUCUCCAACAUGUGCACGUUUUGUAGAUCCCUGGAGCCUUUUUAUGAAUGUUCUCAUUCGAGUGGGGACUGCUGUUGCCUUUUUUUUCUUUGAAAGGCCGGCUUUGCCUUUUCGCCCUUGGGGUCUAUGUCAUUUAUCACAACCUCUCAAACGAGUUUAGAAUGUCUAUUAUGAAAAAGUGAAAUAUACAACUUUCAGCAACGGAUCUCUUGGCUCUCGCAUCGAUGAAGAACGCAGCGAAAUGCGAUAAGUAAUGUGAAUUGCAGAAUUCAGUGAAUCAUCGAAUCUUUGAACGCAUCUUGCGCUCCUUGGUAUUCCGAGGAGCAUGCCUGUUUGAGUGUCAUUUGACUUAUCAACCGCUUCAUCUGAAGUGGCUUUGGAUUGUGGGGGUCUUUGCAGGCUUUUUUCAUCUAAAGGUCGGCUCUCCUGAAACGCAUUAGUGGCAUCUGAGCUGCUACUAUAGGUGUGAUAAAUUAUCUAUGCCUUUGGUAUGCUGCAUGAGCGGAUUGCGCUGCUUACAAUGACAAACUUGACAAACUUGACCUC